Molecule: ribosomal RNA, 481 nt
Filed under: uncultured bacterium
Lineage: Bacteria
Description: bacterial SSU rRNA
Rfam family: Bacterial small subunit ribosomal RNA
Source: RNAcentral
GACGAACGCUGGCGGCGUGCUUAACACAUGCAAGUCGAACGAUGAAGCCUUUCGGGGUGGAUUAGUGGCGAACGGGUGAGUAACACGUGGGCAAUCUGCCCUUCACUCUGGGACAAGCCCUGGAAACGGGGUCUAAUACCGGAUAACACUACGGUCCGCAUGGUCUGUGGUUGAAAGCUCCGGCGGUGAAGGAUGAGCCCGCGGCCUAUCAGCUUGUUGGUGAGGUAGUGGCUCACCAAGGCGACGACGGGUAGCCGGCCUGAGAGGGCGACCGGCCACACUGGGACUGAGACACGGCCCAGACUCCUACGGGAGGCAGCAGUGGGGAAUAUUGCACAAUGGGCGGAAGCCUGAUGCAGCGACGCCGCGUGAGGGAUGACGGCCUUCGGGUUGUAAACCUCUUUCAGCAGGGAAGAAGCGCAAGUGACGGUACCUGCAGAAGAAGCGCCGGCUAACUACGUGCCAGCAGCCGCCGUAACAC